RNAcentral lists this long non-coding RNA (426 nucleotides) under Monodelphis domestica (gray short-tailed opossum). Its description in RNAcentral is "lncRNA (ENSMODG00000034892.2)". The record is from RNAcentral. Lineage: Eukaryota; Metazoa; Chordata; Mammalia; Didelphimorphia; Didelphidae.
AGCCGGAGUCAGGGGGAUUUUCCAACUGCCAAAGGACUCCUGGAUAUUUUGUUUUGUUUUGUUUUUCCCUAGGAGGAGGUUGGUGUUUCUCUUCCCUGGAACACUGAAAAAACCUAGAGGCAGGUGAAGGAAAAGAACAGCAGGGAGAAGAAAAACAAAAAUAAAAAACAGCAACAACCCAUAUUCUCAUCUACCCAGAAAAAAAGACAAGAUUCACCUAGACAGGAAACAGCUUAAUGGAGUUUUCUUGGAUGACUUUACUACCAAAGAUGACUCCAGCAUAUUGACUAAACAAAGACUGUGAAUCAUAGUCCAAAUAGAUUUGGUGGAAAUUAAUUCAUUAAUAUUCAACAUUAAUUAAUGUUCCAUAGAUAUGAGACAUAUUUUGCUGAUUUUUAAAAUAAAACAUAGUCCUAAAGAAUCCCA